Molecule: ribosomal RNA, 447 nt
Filed under: uncultured bacterium
Lineage: Bacteria
Description: bacterial SSU rRNA
Rfam family: Bacterial small subunit ribosomal RNA
Source: RNAcentral
UGGGGAAUCUUGGACAAUGGGCGCAAGCCUGACCCAGCAACGCCGCGUGAAGGAUGAAGUAUUUCGGUAUGUAAACUUCGUAAGAAUAGGAAGAAUAAAUGACGGUACUAUUUGUAAGGUCCGGCUAACUACGUGCCAGCAGCCGCGGUAAUACGUAGGGACCAAGCGUUGUUCGGAUUUACUGGGCGUAAAGGGCGCGUAGGCGGCGUGGUAAGUCAUCUGUGAAAUCUCCGAGCUUAACUCGGAACGGUCAGAUGAUACUGCUGUGCUAGAGUACAGAAAGGGCAAUCGGAAUUCUUGGUGUAGCGGUGAAAUGCGUAGAUAUCAAGAGGAACACCUGAGGCGAAGGCGGGUUGCUAGGCUGAUACUGACGCUGAGGCGCGAAAGCUAGGGUAGCAAACGGGAUUAGAUACCCCAGUAGUCCCUGAGCGGGCUGGCAAGGCGCAU